RNAcentral lists this ribosomal RNA (425 nucleotides) under uncultured bacterium. RNAcentral's name for it is "bacterial SSU rRNA". It matches the Rfam family "Bacterial small subunit ribosomal RNA", at positions 356 to 773 of the family's 1533-position model. The record is from RNAcentral.
GGGGAAUUUUGGACAAUGGGCGCAAGCCUGAUCCAGCCAUUCCGCGUGCAGGAUGAAGGCCUUCGGGUUGUAAACUGCUUUUGUACGGAACGAAAAGGUCCUGGUUAAUACCUGGGGCUCAUGACGGUACCGUAAGAAUAAGCACCGGCUAACUACGUGCCAGCAGCCGCGGUAAUACGUAGGGUGCAAGCGUUAAUCGGAAUUACUGGGCGUAAAGCGUGCGCAGGCGGUCUUGUAAGACAGAGGUGAAAUCCCCGGGCUCAACCUGGGAACUGCCUUUGUGACUGCAAGGCUGGAGUACGGCAGAGGGGGAUGGAAUUCCGCGUGUAGCAGUGAAAUGCGUAGAUAUGCGGAGGAACACCGAUGGCGAAGGCAAUCCCCUGGGCCUGUACUGACGCUCAUGCACGAAAGCGUGGGGAGCAAAC